ACAGUACACAGACAGAAACAGAAUCCACAGACGACAGCAUUGAAAAGCGGUUACAUGGUCUUACUCACAAAACAAGGCAGACUACAGUCUCUGAUGCAUCCAAAGUUGUUGAUCAACCAGAUGAAGCUAGUGAAGAGAGAAGUUCAAGCAGGAGACGCGGGGUGAGGCAGAACAAGAAAGAGACAAAUAAAAAUGAACUUGAAAAUGGGCAAAGUACAGAUGAAGCAGAGCAGAGAAGUACACGGAGUAAAAGGAAGCAUGUUCGGGAGACUGGUGAAAGAUCUCCAAGAAAGAAGAAAAACACACAAUCUGAUAGAUUAUUGGAUGUCUCUUCAGAACCCAGAGUUGUCUCACCUAGAGCAACAAGACAACGUAGAAAUCGUCGCACGUGACCUUUUGGCCUUCUGUUCCAAGUACAAAUAUAAAUGAGUGACCUAACCUCUAUGGUGGUUUUUUUAAAUUGUCAAUUCAGAUUAUAUUUUAAAUAUGACAAUAGGUUUAUUUCUGUGUAACAGGUGUAGUUGUAACUGUACAUAAAUUAGUAGGUUGUAGCUAGUAUUGUGGAAUUUUUGUUUUAAUAAUAAGACCUAGACCAUUUGGUAUUAUUUUUACUUCCCAUGAUUAUUGUACUCUUGUAAUGACUGUCGUGUGUAAUUAACCCUCAAUAGUCAUCCAUUUUAAGUAUUAGUCGAGGCUAAAUACCUCGAGCGUACUUCAGCUGACUUUAAAUUUUAUUUGAAAAGUUAUUGGAUUUGAAUAUAAUUUUAAGUGUUAAAGACCUCACCCGAAACAUAUAUUUCUUUAGUGUGUUGAAGUUUGAACUGAACGGAGACUACAUGUUUUGAAUGUAUGCAAGCUAGAGAGAAGAUACCCACCAAUACAGCUAAUAUUUUGUCAUGGAAUAUAGCCUUUUCCAAACUAAAUAUUGUAUAGUAGUUCUUAAAUUGUAAUAAGUUUUUUAAUAUUACUUUAAUGUAUAAGAACCAGAGAUGAUUUAGAGAAUUGUAAUAUUUUAAAGUGAAAUAAGAACUUCCAUUUUCACUUAUUUUUAAAAACACUGUAGCUGUUUCUUCUUCUUAAUCAUAUUCUCUCAUUGUUAAUAGGCACUGUCUUGGAGAUGUAAUUCAAACUGACUGUUCUGUUAUUGUCACCCGUCCUACAAGCACACCAUUGUAGAAUUCAAAAGUAGUAUUUCAGUUUUACUCACAAUUUCUUCUAUAAUGUAGAGCAUUGUAUAAAAGACCUAAUUGUCUUUCCACUUUGGUUUAUUCACAUUUUGUAAUGACUGUAGUCAUGUGUAAACUAAUUGUUAUUAAUUUUUAUUUCCUCCAUGUUUCCAAAUUUGUCUGUUUAGAAUUGUGUGUUAACUUUGCUACUUUUGGUGGCAGAUAUUUUAACUAUUACAGUUAGCAUAUGCUAUGCUACGUGUCCAGCCCCUAUUCCCAUGUUUCUGUUUCAUCUACCUUCACUGGUUCAUUAUUAUACAUAACAAAUAUUUAAGCCAAAUUUGGCUUCUUGGAAGAGGUUUUGCCAUUCUUGGGAAAUGUAAACGCUUCAGUCAACCAGAGAUAUUAGAUCAUCACUUAUAAAGGGAACAUAUUAAUUGAAGAUUGAGCAGAGUAUUGCAUACCAUUUUCAUAUUACAUGCAGUGUUUCUAGAAAUGUGGAUGGGUGAGAAGAUCCUUGCACACACCACACCACGCAAUUUAAAACUGUACUUCAUUGAAGUAAGUACUUAAGUUUGAUGUUGGGUAUAUCACACAGUCUUGUAUGGUGCAAUGUCUUUUUAUAUAACAACAUUGUAAUGUAUUGGUUUUGUAUCUCCAGCAUAAAUCAGUGUUAAUGAAUUAAUGAUGCACUACUUCAAAGAAUUUAAAAGUAGUUGUAUGUUUUCAUAUAGCGUUGUUAAAUUUAAAAAUCCAAAAGGGUGUAAAUAUUGUAGGUAUUUAUUGCCACAGUGAGACAUUAGUUUCACUAUCAUUUUAAAGUAAAGUGCAGACAUUUUGUGUUUAUGUGGAAAUAGGUGCAAGGAAUUUUAUGAGAAAAUUUGAAAUACAAUAACUUGGUUGUUUGCACAGUUAUUUACAUGAAGGGAUCGGAGAGAUAUAGUGUUAAGCCAGGUGUAACUAGUUUUGAUAUACAGCAACAGUCCAUGUUCCGUGGACAGCUAUAAAUGUUCAGUACAAAGUAGAAAUCUUCUUGGUUUUGUACAUAAUAGUUUAUUACCUCGCCAGGUGUGUAGUAAAAUACUCGACUCUUUAUGCAUUGUAAUUAUAUUGAAUCAUUUUACUUAAGAUGUCAUCAGUAGUGGCUUAUUACUUUAUCUCCCAGAAAAGAAUGUAGAAUGCAAAAUAUGAAUUUGUUAGGAAUUAUUUUGAACUACACUAAAAACAGUGACCAGUGUAUAUAAUUUUUACAUAUUUAUAUAUGUGCAAAGGUCAUUCAGAUUAAUAAAUUAUUUUAGUGACUUAGCUACAUCAAGAGAGUUCCUCUAACUCAUAAUUGUUCACAUUAUUUCCAAUAGAUGACUGAAAGAAGUGUUAGUUUGCUGCAGAUAUGUACGCCAUGAGAGAUGGUACACCAUAAUUUUUUUCCUGCAUAAUCAGAAGUGGCUUUCUAUAUUUUACUGGCAGCUGAAAUGGAUAUGGUUCAGCAAGCCUUCAUUUCUUUUCCUCAUAAUAUGGAUAUCCACUGAUGCAAGGGCUCCUUUGUCAGAAUAGCAGUGCUCCACACUUUGGUUGAAUAGCUUCACUGAAAUGAAUGAGCUCUACGAAUGUAAGGGGUGUUUAGAGAUUGCCUUAAGAUUAUCCGACAUCCAGACGUCUUAGAUUUGGCACUUUGGUCAGAAUGAAAUUUUUUUAUUGUAUUUUACUACCACAACUUCAUUGCAGACACAAUCACAAUUGCAAAGGAGUCUAGUGUGACCUGCCACAGGACAGUAAUGCUGGGCAGAUUUAAAUCUUUUGGUAACAACGAGAGAGAGAGACUUCCAAAGCACAAAAGGCCAAAUUCUUUCUCUAUUCCUUUCUGUUACCUGAUUAUGUGGAAAUGUUUUGUUAGAGGAUUAGUUAACUUCAAAUAUUUUAUCAAGCAGCUCCAAACUUCAUCUGAAUCCGUUCAUCUUUCUCACUCCAUAGAAAUACAUCUCUUUCUGAUCCACAGUUGUGGAUACUGCAAUCUCUCCAUACUUUAAUCUUGUCAAAUGCUAGAUCAACUGUUUGGAUGUGGGGAACAUUUAUUGUUUAACUGUAAAACCCAUCGUAAUUUACACAUUACAUUCUUCAAUCUUCUUGCCUGUUCUGUAACCCAAGAACCCUUGAGAAAGCUUCCUUGCAAAUCAUGCCUUUCAUUCCAUAUAUCUUCAUGUUAUUUAAAAAUGUAAGAACUGAAGAUUACACUUUGUGGGUAAUCCUUUUUGGAAUAGCUAUGAAAGAAAGAUAAAAUAGAAUGAAAUAAAAUUACUCAUAAGAUACUAGUAAAUUUUUCUUUAUAAAACAAACUUUCACAUUUGAUGCCAUAUUUAUGAAAUUUGUCAGGUAAGUAUUCUGGACGUUAAAAUUUUCUGUAUCCAAAAAAGAAUAAAAAAAUAUUUCCUUCUUUCCCAUAUAGUUGUAAGGCACACACAAUACUGCUAAAAUGGCAUUCAUGAAAAAUAUUUGUGUUGUUAAAACUAUAUUAUUACAGCAUUAAGUAGUCUUUGAAGUAUGCCCAUAAAAUUUUCCCACUACCACAAAAAUGCAUUCAAAUGUGUGAACAACAUUAGAGCAAAGUCACUAAACAAUGAUUACCAGUAAAUACAGAAAUGUUAUCUGAGCUGGAACUGUAGCUCAAUGGAUGCCAGGAUUCAUCACUGUCAGUAUCAAAAUGACCACAUUAGUUUCCACUACUCUCAUUGGCAACUAUUCGUUAAAUAUGUGAACAAGGUUCAGAUGCUCCUGAGCUAGCUGCCAUUUUGCUGUGAUAUGUCUGUCUUCUAAAAAUACCACCAGAUGGCAAAGUACAAAACUUCACUGCCAUUUCCUGCCAUCUGUUGCUAAAAGACUGAGCUUUUUUGACAAGAGAUGAGGGUAUUUUUAAAAAUGUCAUAACAUGAAAA
Schistocerca cancellata (South American locust) is the source of this 4096-nucleotide long non-coding RNA. RefSeq lists it as uncharacterized. NCBI's taxonomy places the organism in Eukaryota, Metazoa, Arthropoda, Insecta, Orthoptera, Acrididae. The transcript has 3 exons. The record is from RefSeq and is a predicted model, not a curated record.